Molecule: long non-coding RNA, 480 nt
Filed under: Selaginella moellendorffii
Lineage: Eukaryota; Viridiplantae; Streptophyta; Lycopodiopsida; Selaginellales; Selaginellaceae
Description: long non-coding RNA (SMOE_LNC000368)
Source: RNAcentral
GAGGAUACGACCAGGUGCGUGCUUACAGACGAGUUUAUGGACCAGCCAUCUAACAACUUGGUUUGCAGGUGGUUCACGACGUCGACCUUCAAAAACUCCCAGUCAGAUUUGCAAUGGACAGGGCAGGACUCGUUGGAGCAGACGGACCGACACAUUGCGGUGCAUUUGAUGUCACUUACAUGGCUUGCCUUCCAAACAUGGUGGUCAUGGCACCCGCUGACGAAGCCGAACUCAUGCAUAUGAUUGCUACAGCAGCGGCCAUCGACGACAGACCAUCGUGCUUCAGAUAUCCUCGCGGGAACGGUAUUGGAGCGUUACUUCCGGCUGGAAACAAAGGAACACCGGUUGAGGUAAGCCGCAUAUCCAAGUCGAGAGCAUCCAACUGACCCCUGAGGUUUACGCCAGAUUGGAAAAGGAAGGAUACUGGUUGAAGGAUCCCGCGUUGCUCUCCUGGGCUACGGAACCAUGGUACAAAACUGC